GAUGAACGCUGGCGGCGUGCUUAAUACAUGCAAGUCGAGCGAACGGACGCGAAGCUUGCUUCUCUGAUGUUAGCGGCGGACGGGUGUGUCACACGUGUAUAACCUACUUAUAAGACUGGGAUCAUUUCGGGAAACCGGCGCUUAUCCCGGAUAAUAUUUUGAACCGUAUGGUUCAAAAGUGAAAGUCGGCCUUGCUGUCACUUCUAGAUGGAUCCGCGCUGCAUUAGCUGGUUGGUACGGUAACGGCUUAUCAAGGCGACUAUGCAUAGCCGACGUGAGAGAGUGGUCGGCCGCACUAGAGCUGAGACGCGGUCCAGGCGCCUGCGAGAGGCAGCAGUAGGGAAUCUGCCGCAGUAGGCGAAAACCUGGCGGAACGGCGCCACGUGAGAGGUAGAAAUCUUCGGAUCGUAAAACUCUGUUAUUAGGUAAAAACAUAUUUGUAAGUAGCUGUACACAUCGUGACGGUACCUAGUCAGAAAGCCACGGCUAACUACGUG
RNAcentral lists this ribosomal RNA (497 nucleotides) under uncultured bacterium. Its description in RNAcentral is "partial 16S ribosomal RNA". It matches the Rfam family "Bacterial small subunit ribosomal RNA", at positions 28 to 507 of the family's 1533-position model. The record is from RNAcentral.